RNAcentral lists this ribosomal RNA (301 nucleotides) under uncultured bacterium. RNAcentral describes it as "partial 16S ribosomal RNA". It matches the Rfam family "Bacterial small subunit ribosomal RNA", at positions 509 to 807 of the family's 1533-position model. The record is from RNAcentral.
CAGUCGCCACGGUAAUACGAAGGGUGCAAGCGUUAAUCGGAAUUACUGGGCGUAAAGCGUGCGUAGGCGGUUUGUUAAGUCUGUUGUGAAAUCCCCGGGCUCAACCUGGGAAUGGCAAUGGAUACUGGCAAGCUAGAGUGUGUCAGAGGAUGGUGGAAUUCCCGGUGUAGCGGUGAAAUGCGUAGAGAUCGGGAGGAACAUCAGUGACGAAGGCGGCCAUCUGGGACAACACUGACGCUGAGGCACGAAAGCGUGGGGAGCAAACAGGAUUAGAUACCCGAGUAGUCCCUGUCUCUUAUAC